This 253-nucleotide ribosomal RNA is filed under the name uncultured bacterium. Its description in RNAcentral is "partial 16S ribosomal RNA". It matches the Rfam family "Bacterial small subunit ribosomal RNA", at positions 524 to 776 of the family's 1533-position model. The record is from RNAcentral.
UACGUAGGGUGCAAGCGUUGUCCGGAAUUAUUGGGCGUAAAGAGCUCGUAGGCGGUCUGUUGCGUCGGCUGUGAAAACCCGGGGCUCAACUCCGGGCCUGCAGCCGAUACGGGCAGACUAGAGUUCGGCAGGGGAGACUGGAAUUCCUGGUGUAGCGGUGAAAUGCGCAGAUAUCAGGAGGAACACCGGUGGCGAAGGCGGUUCUCUGGGCAUUACCUGACGCUGAGGAGCGAAAGUGUGGGGAGCGAACAGG